GUAUAGGUAAUUUCUGCUUUGUUCGGGGACUCUCUGGCUUAUCAUGGAGAAAAACAAGCUCCAGCCUCGUCUCCUCCUGCCAUGAACAGCCAAAUGUUGCCAUUGCCGACUAACAUUUCAAUGAAUCAGAUGAAAUGUGGGGAGGUACCUGGCACAGUCAGCAACAGAACAGGUGUGUUCCACUUGGAAGAAUUUGUAAGAUCCAGCAGCUGCCAAGCUCAUGAGAGGAAGCUGUUAUAUGCAAACUUAUCUGCCAGGUACGGCUGGAGGAGAUAUAAAGAUGAUCAAGAGACAGUCUUUGCUCUCAAGGACCUUAUAAUCUGGUCAGAGUCAGUCUUCAUUAUCUUUGAAAAACACUCGGAUAAUGUCUCCGCGAUGGAUGGUGAGUUCAUCUGAUCGAUUCGCUGUGUAGUCAUAAAGAGCCACUACCUAAGAGAGAGAUAAGACCACCACAGCUUUAUCACAACUGUACCACAGAGAAAACCCCCAACAUUCACUUCCUCUUGCAGAAGAGCAGCUGAAACCAAAGCAGUACUUUGAGACAGAGGUGGCUGCUAGGAAGAAGAGCAGGAGAGAUUCAGCUUGGGCAACAGAAUCAUUAGAAGUCCCAUAUCAGGUUGAAGCCCUAACCAUCAAUGUGACUGUAUUGGGAGAUAGGGCCUUUAAAAAGGUAAUUAAAGUUAAAUGAGGUCAAAUGGAUGGGGCCCUAAUCCACUGAAACUGGUGUCCUUACAAAAAGAUGAAAUGCCAGGAGCACCUAUGCACAGUGAAAAAGGCCAUUUGAGGACACAGGGUGAAGGUGGCUGUCUGGAAGCCAAGGAGAGAAGCCUCAGGAGGAACCAGUCGACUGGCUCCUUGAUCUUGGACUUUAGAACCGUAAGCAAAUAAAUUUCUGUUGUUUAAAUCACCUAGUCCAUGGUAUUUUGUUAUGGCAGCCCUGGCAGACUAAUACAGUUCUACAACCUGACAGUGUUAGAUUAAUCACUCACUAUCAGCCUGUCAUGACACUGCAAAUGGACAAUGCCUCACUUGUAUCCAUUUUAGGUCUUUACCAGUUUACAGUACUGUGUUCCACACUAUAAUAUCAUCUCCUGAUGUAAAAACAAUGUUCUUGUCAAAAAACUCCACAACCAACAUCCUUAGGAGGGUAAUGGUUGGGGAGGCUAUGUCCCCCAAAACAAAGGAACAGUCCUUGGAGCAUGUCACCAUCAUAGCAUUACUGACAUGUAAAUGCAAAAUUGUUAUACAGUGAGAAAUCAGCGUGUUUCACAUGCCAAGAGUCCACAUUCUGGCAGUGGAGUUAUGACCAUUCUCUCAUCAUACUGAAGGCACACAACAAAAGCCACAUGGCUCAUAAGAAUCUGCUUGUAUUCCAGUGUGUGUUAUUAUUUCAUUUUUGAAGACACCUUUCUCACUUCUGGGCAACACAGUAUGUGCAGUAAACUUCUCAGCUUGUUUUAAUUUGGUGAUAGAUACUGCAUAAAUUACGCCUUCCUCAUCUCCAAUUAGAUUGUUAUUGUUUUACUGUUUUAGGGUAAAGUAAAGCUCUAUAAAAAAGUCGGGAAACAAUCCCAUCAAAGAGGUUUGUUUUGAAAUAAUACUAUUUCUAUUUUCUCCCUAUUCUGGUAGAUGUUGUCAUAGAAAAUCUGUCUGGACCACUCUUUGAUGAGUAUCUUCUUCAGCAUACCAUCCCUUGCACACAGUGGUCUGGCAUAUAGGUAUGACAGAAUAUUCUCAGCAAUAUGAUUUGAAUCUUGAGCUGAGAGAGCAGUUAUGAAAUCUUUCUGCAACAGAAGUUUAACAGCUGAAUUUCUAUGUCCAAGUUGGUAAUGACAGGUCUAGGAAAUGAAAUGUUCCACAAAACCUACCUGUUCAAAUUUGACCAUUAUUCACGUAUUUUAAACAGAGUUUCUUCUUUCUCAAAAGUUGUUAAGUUGCUUGGGUAUAAUCAUGGUGGAAGUGCCCCUGGCAAGUUUUUUUUUGUACAUACAUUUUUGUCUUUAUAGCAGUGCUUGCCAGAUACUAUUUCUUGGUUUAAGCAGUCUGCCAGGCUGUUAUAAGACAUUUAAAUGAAUUCCAAUGUACAUUAUCUUCUGAGAGAUUUUUCAUUAUUAUCGUUGUCUCAAUGGUUCUUGAAAUCAGUUUACUGAAGGAAUGUUAGCCAGUAGUGUUUGUCAGCAAAUGUUCCUUACAACUUUAUCUAUAAUACAAUUUAAAAAAUCAAUAUUCAUAAUGGCCCCAAGUCAUCCAACAAGCUAAAUUAUGUUGAACAAACCCAUAUACCUAAGCACUUUCUCCUCCAGCACUGUUACAGCUGGGUCCAUGGUCACUGGGGAACUUUGCACCAUUUGCAGCCAAAGUGGCUUCUGGAUCCUACUACCUUCCUUCUUGCUCCUUACUUGAUUUUAAAUUGCUGGUUUCCAGACAGUGAAAGAAUAAAUUUCUAUUAUUGUAAGCCAUGGCAAAUUUGUGGUAAUUUGUUAAAACAGCCCUAGGAAACUAAUAUAUGUAAACUUUACAUUGGUGAAUGGAUUUUUUUUGUGUUCUUUUAGAGUAUUGAACCCUCUUCUGGCAUCAGUUACAUGAGAUCAGUUUGACCCUUUCCAGGUUUGCUUUUAAGUUUUGUUAGAGCAGAUUCAGGAAGACUUUACUCUAGGGCUCAAUAAACUGUACUACCAGGGUGUGAUCCUUCUGAUAAUUCUACCUGAUGCAACAUAUAUUAGGUUUUCUCAUUCUGGCUGUCAGGAAUGUGAAUUAUUCUCAUUCUGUUUUGCAGUCUACACUUCGGAUAAAAAUUUCCUCAUAGAGUUCUACCCCAUGCAUGUACAGAUCAAUUACUCAGCCAUAGACUUAUUAGAGGCAAUUCUUAUGGUUAUUGGCAGGAUUAUUACCAACUUCCAAUAUAAGGUGAAACAAAAAGUAAUAUCUUAGUAAUUAUAUUAUUUUUUUGCCAGAAGCCUUUGUACAGUUAAAGCCUUUGUACCAUUAACUAAAAUGCAUGCAUUUUUAGUGUCCAUGAUAAAUGCAGUUAUCACCUUAUUGAACUUCUGGCAUUCUUUAAGAAAGUACAUUAAGCUUUAGUAUCAAAGUAUUUAGGUAAACCUGUGCUUAAGUGGUAAGAAAACAUUUGUUCUUUUUUUGAUUUUAAACAUUUUCUCCUCAUACAUAGCCCAUCUCUUAUAUGCUUGGAGUUACCUUUGGCUAUGUAGCUGGCCUUGUUAUUUUACCACUAUCGAUAUACUGUAAUAGAAAGCAAUUUACAUACAAGAACAAUUAAUUGAGCAAAGGGAGAAGAUAUUUCCUUGUGCAGAUUCUGUAAGAACUGCAGAAAUAUCUUUGUAUGGUCUAAACCAGGCAGUUUCAUUUAUAGCACUGUUUUUUAUGUACUUACAACAUAAUGUGAUGUAGCUUUUUAAACUAUGGAACCCACUGUGAUUGUACCUUCUAGUUGAAAUAAAGUAUUAAUAACUGAUUUGUGGCUGCAGAUGCUAUUUGCUGUUUCUUGGAUGUUUAGGAAAC
This is a non-coding RNA of Manis javanica (Malayan pangolin), 3519 nucleotides long. The record is from RefSeq and is a predicted model, not a curated record. Lineage: Eukaryota; Metazoa; Chordata; Mammalia; Pholidota; Manidae.